Molecule: ribosomal RNA, 891 nt
Filed under: uncultured archaeon
Lineage: Archaea
Description: bacterial SSU rRNA
Rfam family: Archaeal small subunit ribosomal RNA
Source: RNAcentral
UUCCGGUUGAUCCCGCCGGACCUCACUGCUAUCGGGGUGGGACUAAAACAUGCAAGUCGAGCGCCCCCAAGCUAUGGUGAAGGCGCGGCAUACGGCUCAGUAACACGUGGCCAACCUACCCUUGGGACGGAGACAACCCCGGGAAACUGGGGCUAAUCCCCGAUAGGUAAGGAAUCCUGGAAUGGAUCUUUGCUGAAAGGGCGUCUAGACCAUGCUUCUUGACGUCGCCCAAGGAUGGAGCCGCGACCGAUCAGGUAGUUGGCGAGGCAACGGCUCACCAAGCCUAUAACCGGUACGGGCCGUGAGAGCGGGAGCCCGGAGAUGGGCACUGAGACAAGGGCCCAGGCCCUACGGGGCGCAGCAGUUGCGAAAACUCCGCAAUAUGCGAAAGCGUGACGGGGCUACCCCGAGUGCCGCCCGCUGAGGGCGGCUUUUCCACGGUGUAAGGAGCCGUGGGAAUAAGGAGAGGGCAAGACUGGUGUCAGCCGCCGCGGUAAUACCAGCUCUCCGAGUGGUGAGGACGAUUAUUGGGCUUAAAGCGUUCGUAGCCGGCUUAACAAGUCUUCCGUUAAAUCCAACGAUCUAAUCGUUGGGCCGCGGGAGAUACUGUUGGGCUAGGAGGCGGGAGAAGCCGACGGUAUUCUCGGGGUAGGGGUGAAAUCCUGUAAUCCCGGGAGGACCACCAGUGGCGAAGGCGGUCGGCUAGAACGCGCUCGACGGUGAGGGACGAAAGCUGGGGGAGCGAACCGGAUUAGAAACCCGGGUAGUCCCAGCUGUAAACGAUGCGGGCUAGGUGUUGGGGUGGCCACGAGCCACCUCAGUGCCGCAUGGAAGCAAUUAAGCCCGCCGCCUGGGGAGUACGGCCGCAAGGCUGAAACUUAAAGGAAUUGG